This 515-nucleotide ribosomal RNA is filed under the name Aleuroplatus coronata. RNAcentral's name for it is "partial 16S ribosomal RNA". It matches the Rfam family "Archaeal large subunit ribosomal RNA", at positions 1889 to 2688 of the family's 2987-position model. The record is from RNAcentral. Lineage: Eukaryota; Metazoa; Arthropoda; Insecta; Hemiptera; Aleyrodidae.
CGCCUGUUUAACAAAACAUAGUUUAUGGCUUAAAAUGUCUUAAAUAAAUUCUGCUCAAUGAAAAUUAAAUAGCUGCAGUAAAUUAACUGUACUAAGGUAGCACAAUAAAUUGUUUUUUAAUUAAAAACUAGAAUGAAUGAAUAAAUGGAAUACUAACUUCUUAAACAUUAAAAAGUAAAAAUUAAUCAUUAAGUCAAAAAUCUUAAAUAAUCUAGAAAGACAAAAAGACCCUUUAGAAUUUUAUUAUUAUCAUUAACCUUAACGUUAAUAUAACAAUUUAGUUGGGGAGACUAAAAAACUCAAAUUUUUUUUUUUACAGCACUUUAUAAGUGACUAUUAAGAAUCCAUAAAUGAAAAAAAACCAAAUUACCUAAGGGAUAACAGCGUAAAGUUUCUUAAAAGAUCACAUUUACAGAAUAUAUUACGACCUCGAUGUUGGAUUAAGACAAAUUUAAAAAGCAGAAUUUUUAGAUAUGGGUCUGUCGACCAUAACACAUGAUCUGAGUUCAAACCGG